Molecule: ribosomal RNA, 592 nt
Filed under: uncultured Bacillota bacterium
Lineage: Bacteria; Bacillati; Bacillota
Description: bacterial SSU rRNA
Rfam family: Bacterial small subunit ribosomal RNA
Source: RNAcentral
ACCCGCACAAGCGGUGGAGCAUGUGGUUUAAUUAGAAGCAACGGGAAGAACCUUACCUAAACUUGACAUCCUUUUGACCGGAGGGUAAUGCCUCCCUCACUAGCUUGUUAGUGCAAAAGUGACAGGUGGUGCAUGGUUGUCGUCAGCUCGUGUCGUGAGAUGUUGGGUUAAGUCCCGCAACGAGCGCAACCCCUAUCUUUAGUAGCCAUCAUUAAGUUGGGCACUCUAGAGAGACUGCCAGGGAUAACCUGGAGGAAGGUGGGGAUGACGUCAAAUCAUCAUGCCCCUUAUGUUUAGGGCUACACACGUGCUACAAUGGGUGCUACAAAGGGAAGCAAAUCCGCGAGGCCGAGCAAAUCUCAAAAAAGCACUCCCAGUUCGGAUUGUAGUCUGCAACUCGACUACAUGAAGUUGGAAUCGCUAGUAAUCGCGAAUCAGAAUGUCGCGGUGAAUACGUUCCCGGGUCUUGUACACACCGCCCGUCACACCAUGGGAGUUGGGGGGGCCCAACGCCAGUGACCUAACCCGUAAGGGAAGGAGCUGUCUAAGGCAAAACCAAUGACUGGGGUGAAGUCGUAACAAGGUAGCCGUA